GCCUGGGUGGCUCAGUCAGUUAAGUGUCUGACUUCAGCUCAGGUCAUGAUCUCACAGUUUGUGAGUUCAAGUCCCACGUCAGGCU
RNAcentral lists this transfer RNA (85 nucleotides) under Felis catus (domestic cat). It matches the Rfam family "tRNA". From Rfam's summary of the family: Transfer RNA (tRNA) molecules are approximately 80 nucleotides in length. Their secondary structure includes four short double-helical elements and three loops (D, anti-codon, and T loops). Further hydrogen bonds mediate the characteristic L-shaped molecular structure. tRNAs have two regions of fundamental functional importance: the anti-codon, which is responsible for specific mRNA codon recognition, and the 3' end, to which the tRNAs corresponding amino acid is attached (by aminoacyl-tRNA synthetases). tRNAs cope with the degeneracy of the genetic code in two manners: having more than one tRNA (with a specific anti-codon) for a particular amino acid; and 'wobble' base-pairing, i.e. permitting non-standard base-pairing at the 3rd anti-codon position. The record is from Rfam by way of RNAcentral. Lineage: Eukaryota; Metazoa; Chordata; Mammalia; Carnivora; Felidae.